Molecule: ribosomal RNA, 497 nt
Filed under: uncultured bacterium
Lineage: Bacteria
Description: partial 16S ribosomal RNA
Rfam family: Bacterial small subunit ribosomal RNA
Source: RNAcentral
GACGAACGCUGGCGGCGUGCCUAAUACAUGCAAGUAGAACGCUGAAGCUUGGUGCUUGCACCGAGCGGAUGAGUUGCGAACGGGUGAGUAACGCGUAGGUAACCUGCCUGGUAGCGGGGGAUAACUAUUGGAAACGAUAGCUAAUACCGCAUAAGAGUAGAUGUUGCAUGACAUUUGCUUAAAAGGUGCAAUUGCAUCACUACCAGAUGGACCUGCGUUGUAUUAGCUAGUUGGUGAGGUAACGGCUCACCAAGGCAACGAUACAUAGCCGACCUGAGAGGGUGAUCGGCCACACUGGGACUGAGACCCGGCCCAGACUCCUACGGGAGGCAGCAGUAGGGAAACUUCGGCAAUGGACGGAAGUCUGACCGAGCAACGCCGCGUGAGUGAAGAAGGUUUUCGGAUCGUAAAGCUCUGUUGUAAGAGAAGAACGAGUGUGAGAGUGGAAAGUUCACACUGUGACGGUAUCUGACCAGAAAGGGACGGCUAACUACGUG